RNAcentral lists this ribosomal RNA (492 nucleotides) under uncultured bacterium. RNAcentral describes it as "partial 16S ribosomal RNA". It matches the Rfam family "Bacterial small subunit ribosomal RNA", at positions 29 to 507 of the family's 1533-position model. The record is from RNAcentral.
AGUGAACGCUGGCGGUAGGCCUAACACAUGCAAGUCGAACGGCAGCACAGUAAGAGCUUGCUCUUACGGGUGGCGAGUGGCGGACGGGUGAGGAAUACAUCGGAAUCUACUUUUUCGUGGGGGAUAGCGUAGGGAACCUUACGCUAAUACCGCAUACGACCUACGGGUGAAAGCAGGGGAUCUUCGGACCUUGCGCGAUUGAAUGAGCCGAUGUCGGAUUAGCUAGUUGGCGGGGUAAAGGCCCACCAAGGCGACGAUCCGUAGCUGGUCUGAGAGGAUGAUCAGCCACACUGGAACUGAGACACGGUCCAGACUCCUACGGGAGGCAGCAGUGGGGAAUAUUGGACAAUGGGCGCAAGCCUGAUCCAGCCAUACCGCGUGGGUGAAGAAGGCCUUCGGGUUGUAAAGCCCUUUUGUUGGGAAAGAAAAGCAGCAGGUUAAUACCCCGCUGUUCUGACGGUACCCAAAGAAUAAGCACCGGCUAACUUCGUG